RNAcentral lists this ribosomal RNA (246 nucleotides) under uncultured bacterium. Its description in RNAcentral is "partial 16S ribosomal RNA". It matches the Rfam family "Bacterial small subunit ribosomal RNA", at positions 110 to 354 of the family's 1533-position model. The record is from RNAcentral.
GUAACGCGUGAGGAACCUGCCUUCCAGAGGGGGACAACAGUUGGAAACGACUGCUAAUACCGCAUGAUGCGUUGGAGCCGCAUGACUCCGACGUCAAAGAUUUAUCGCUGGAAGAUGGCCUCGCGUCUGAUUAGCUAGUUGGUGAGGUAACGGCCCACCAAGGCGACGAUCAGUAGCCGGACUGAGAGGUUGGCCCGGCCACAUUGGGACUGAGAUACGGCCCAGACUCCGUACGGGAGGCAGCAG